CAAUGGACGAAAGUCUGAUGGAGCAACGCCGCGUGAGUGAUGAAGGUUUUCGGAUCGUAAAACUCUGUUGUAAGGGAAGAACAAGUGCGUUAGGUAAUGAACGCACCUUGACGGUACCUUAUUAGAAAGCCACGGCUAACUACGUGCCAGCAGCCGCGGUAAUACGUAGGUGGCAAGCGUUGUCCGGAUUUAUUGGGCGUAAAGCGCGCGCAGGUGGUUUCUUAAGUCUGAUGUGAAAGCCCACGGCUCAACCGUGGAGGGUCAUUGGAAACUGGGGAACUUGAGUGCAGAAGAGGAUAGUGGAAUUCCAAGUGUAGCGGUGAAAUGCGUAGAGAUUUGGAGGAACACCAGUGGCGAAGGCGACUGUCUGGUCUGUAACUGACACUGAGGCGCGAAAGCGUGGGGAGCAAACAGGAUUAGAUACCCUGGUAGUCCACGCCGUAAACGAUGAGUGCUAAGUGUUAGGGGGUUUCCGCCCCUUAGUGCUGCAGCUAACGCAUUAAGCACUCCGCCUGGGGAGUACGACCGCAAGGUUGAAACUCAAAGGAAUNGACGGGGGCCCGCACAAGCGGUGGAGCAUGUGGUUUAAUUCGA
RNAcentral lists this ribosomal RNA (594 nucleotides) under bacterium T-2-0-1B.P. Its description in RNAcentral is "bacterial SSU rRNA". It matches the Rfam family "Bacterial small subunit ribosomal RNA", at positions 369 to 954 of the family's 1533-position model. The record is from RNAcentral.